This 253-nucleotide ribosomal RNA is filed under the name Mediterraneibacter faecis JCM 15917. RNAcentral describes it as "[Ruminococcus] faecis JCM 15917 partial 16S ribosomal RNA". It matches the Rfam family "Bacterial small subunit ribosomal RNA", at positions 524 to 776 of the family's 1533-position model. Lineage: Bacteria; Bacillati; Bacillota; Clostridia; Lachnospirales; Lachnospiraceae. The record is from RNAcentral.
UACGUAUGGUGCAAGCGUUAUCCGGAUUUACUGGGUGUAAAGGGAGCGUAGACGGAGUGGCAAGUCUGAUGUGAAAACCCGGGGCUCAACCCCGGGACUGCAUUGGAAACUGUCAAUCUAGAGUACCGGAGAGGUAAGCGGAAUUCCUAGUGUAGCGGUGAAAUGCGUAGAUAUUAGGAGGAACACCAGUGGCGAAGGCGGCUUUCUGGACGGUAACUGACGUUGAGGCUCGAAAGCGUGGGGAGCAAACAGG